This 417-nucleotide ribosomal RNA is filed under the name uncultured bacterium. RNAcentral's name for it is "bacterial SSU rRNA". It matches the Rfam family "Bacterial small subunit ribosomal RNA", at positions 42 to 459 of the family's 1533-position model. The record is from RNAcentral.
UCAGGCCUAACACAUGCAAGUCGAGGGGUAGAAGGAGCUUGCUCCUUUGAGACCGGCGCACGGGUGCGUAACGCGUAUGCAACCUACCUUUUACAGAGGGAUAGCCCAGAGAAAUUUGGAUUAAUACCUCAUAGUAUAUAUCAUUCGCAUGUUUGGUAUAUUAAAGUUCCAACGGUAAAAGAUGAGCAUGCGUCCCAUUAGUUAGUUGGUAAGGUAACGGCUUACCAAGACGAUGAUGGGUAGGGGUCCUGAGAGGGAGAUCCCCCACACUGGUACUGAGACACGGACCAGACUCCUACGGGAGGCAGCAGUGAGGAAUAUUGGUCAAUGGACGCAAGUCUGAACCAGCCAUGCCGCGUGCAGGAAGACGGUCCUAUGGAUUGUAAACUGCUUUUGUACGGGAAGAAACACUCCUAC